Rhagoletis zephyria (snowberry fruit fly) is the source of this 123-nucleotide long non-coding RNA. RefSeq lists it as uncharacterized. NCBI's taxonomy places the organism in Eukaryota, Metazoa, Arthropoda, Insecta, Diptera, Tephritidae. The record is from RefSeq and is a predicted model, not a curated record.
CGGGACAGUCCUCUUUUUUGACCCAUUGUCCUGGAUGCUUUCCAUUUCUAGACAACCGGUCAGGUACGAGCAUGAUUUUUAAUUUCGACCAAACUCAAAUACAUUGUUUGUUGGUCCAAAUAA